GACGAACGCUGGCGGCGUGCUUAACACAUGCAAGUCGAACGGUAAGGCCCUGCUUUUGUGGGGUGUUCGAGUGGCGAACGUGUGAGUAACACGUGAGUAACCUGCCCUUGACUUUGGGCUAACUUCUGGAAACUGGGGCUAAUACCGGAUAGGAGCUCCUGCUGCAUGUUGGGGGUUGGAAAGUUUCGGCGGUUGGGGAUGGACUCGCGGCUUAUCAGUUUGUUGGUGGGGUAGUGGCUUACCAAGGCUUUGACGGGUAGCCGGCCUGAGAGGGUGACCGGCCACAUUGGGACUGAGAUACGGCCCAGACUCCUACGGGAGGCAGCAGUGGGGAAUAUUGCACAAUGGGCGGAAGCCUGAUGCAGCAACGCCGCGUGCGGGAUGACGGCCUUCGGGUUGUAAACCGCUUUCGCCUGUGACGAAGCGUGAGUGACGGUAAUGGGUAAAGAAGCACCGGCUAACUACGUG
RNAcentral lists this ribosomal RNA (468 nucleotides) under uncultured bacterium. RNAcentral describes it as "partial 16S ribosomal RNA". It matches the Rfam family "Bacterial small subunit ribosomal RNA", at positions 28 to 507 of the family's 1533-position model. The record is from RNAcentral.